GGGAAUAGCUCAGUGGUAGAGCAUCACCUUGCCAAGGUGGGGGUCGCGGGUUCAAGUCCCGUUUCCC
Molecule: transfer RNA, 67 nt
Filed under: marine eukaryotic metagenome
Rfam family: tRNA
About the family: Transfer RNA (tRNA) molecules are approximately 80 nucleotides in length. Their secondary structure includes four short double-helical elements and three loops (D, anti-codon, and T loops).
Source: RNAcentral